GAUGAACGCUGGCGGCGUGCUUAACACAUGCAAGUCGAACGAUGAAGCCCAGCUUGCUGGGUGGAUUAGUGGCGAACGGGUGAGUAACACGUGAGUAACCUGCCCUUAACUCUGGGAUAAGCCUGGGAAACUGGGUCUAAUACCGGAUAGGAGCGUCCACCGCAUGGUGGGUGUUGGAAAGAUUUAUCGGUUUUGGAUGGACUCGCGGCCUAUCAGCUUGUUGGUGAGGUAAUGGCUCACCAAGGCGACGACGGGUAGCCGGCCUGAGAGGGGGACCGGCCACACUGGGACGGAGACACGGCCCAGACUCCUACGGGAGGCAGCAGUGGGGAAUAUUGCACAAUGGGCGAAAGCCUGAUGCAGCGACGCCGCGUGAGGGAUGACGGCCUUCGGGUUGUAAACCUCUUUCAGUAGGGAAGAAGCGAAAGUGACGGUACCUGCAGAAGAAGCACCGGCUAACUACGUGCCAGCCGCCGCGGUAA
Molecule: ribosomal RNA, 482 nt
Filed under: uncultured bacterium
Lineage: Bacteria
Description: partial 16S ribosomal RNA
Rfam family: Bacterial small subunit ribosomal RNA
Source: RNAcentral